RNAcentral lists this ribosomal RNA (761 nucleotides) under Prevotella melaninogenica. RNAcentral describes it as "bacterial SSU rRNA". It matches the Rfam family "Bacterial small subunit ribosomal RNA", at positions 28 to 776 of the family's 1533-position model. Lineage: Bacteria; Pseudomonadati; Bacteroidota; Bacteroidia; Bacteroidales; Prevotellaceae. The record is from RNAcentral.
GAUGAACGCUAGCUACAGGCUUAACACAUGCAAGUCGAGGGGAAACGGCAUUGAGUGCUUGCACUCUUUGGACGUCGACCGGCGCACGGGUGAGUAACGCGUAUCCAACCUUCCCAUUACUGUGGAAUAACCUGCCGAAAGGCAGACUAAUACCGCAUGGUCUUCGUUGACGGCAUCAGAUAUGAAGUAAAGAUUUAUCGGUAAUGGAUGGGGAUGCGUCUGAUUAGUUUGUUGGCGGGGUAACGGCCCACCAAGGCGACGAUCAGUAGGGGUUCUGAGAGGAAGGUCCCCCACAUUGGAACUGAGACACGGUCCAAACUCCUACGGGAGGCAGCAGUGAGGAAUAUUGGUCAAUGGACGUAAGUCUGAACCAGCCAAGUAGCGUGCAGGAUGACGGCCCUAUGGGUUGUAAACUGCUUUUGUAUGGGGAUAAAGUCAGUCACGUGUGAUUGUUUGCAGGUACCAUACGAAUAAGGACCGGCUAAUUCCGUGCCAGCAGCCGCGGUAAUACGGGAGGUCCAGGCGUUAUCCGGAUUUAUUGGGUUUAAAGGGAGCGUAGGCCGGAGAUUAAGUGUGUUGUGAAAUGUAGACGCUCAACGUCUGACUUGCAGCGCAUACUGGUUUCCUUGAGUACGCACAACGUUGGCGGAAUUCGUCGUGUAGCGGUGAAAUGCUUAGAUAUGACGAAGAACUCCGAUUGCGAAGGCAGCUGACGGGAGCGCAACUGACGCUUAAGCUCGAAGGUGCGGGUAUCAAACAGG